Molecule: ribosomal RNA, 207 nt
Filed under: uncultured bacterium
Lineage: Bacteria
Description: partial 16S ribosomal RNA
Rfam family: Bacterial small subunit ribosomal RNA
Source: RNAcentral
GACAGAGGGUGCAAACGUUGCUCGGAAUCACUGGGCGUAAAGGGCGUGUAGGCGGGUAGGCAAGUCGGGCGUGAAAUCCCUGAGCUCAACUCAGGAACUGCACUUCGAAACUGCUUAUCUUGAGUGCCGGAGAGGAAAGCGGAAUACCUGGAUGUAGAGGUGAAAUUUCGAUAGAUAUCAGGUGGAACACCAGUGGCGAAGGCGGCU